This 100-nucleotide ribosomal RNA is filed under the name Thioalkalivibrio sp. RNAcentral's name for it is "partial 16S ribosomal RNA". It matches the Rfam family "Bacterial small subunit ribosomal RNA", at positions 1 to 97 of the family's 1533-position model. The record is from RNAcentral. Lineage: Bacteria; Pseudomonadati; Pseudomonadota; Gammaproteobacteria; Chromatiales; Ectothiorhodospiraceae.
AAACUGAAGAGUUUGAUCCUGGCUCAGAUUGAACGCUGGCGGCAUGCCUAACACAUGCAAGUCGAACGGCAGCGCGGGAGCUUGCUCCUGGCGGCGAGUG